This 74-nucleotide transfer RNA is filed under the name Vibrio cyclitrophicus ZF205. Its description in RNAcentral is "tRNA-Gln". It matches the Rfam family "tRNA". Rfam says of the family: Transfer RNA (tRNA) molecules are approximately 80 nucleotides in length. Their secondary structure includes four short double-helical elements and three loops (D, anti-codon, and T loops). Further hydrogen bonds mediate the characteristic L-shaped molecular structure. tRNAs have two regions of fundamental functional importance: the anti-codon, which is responsible for specific mRNA codon recognition, and the 3' end, to which the tRNAs corresponding amino acid is attached (by aminoacyl-tRNA synthetases). tRNAs cope with the degeneracy of the genetic code in two manners: having more than one tRNA (with a specific anti-codon) for a particular amino acid; and 'wobble' base-pairing, i.e. permitting non-standard base-pairing at the 3rd anti-codon position. Lineage: Bacteria; Pseudomonadati; Pseudomonadota; Gammaproteobacteria; Vibrionales; Vibrionaceae. The record is from RNAcentral.
UGGGCUAUCGCCAAGCGGUAAGGCACUGGCUUUUGAUGCCGCAUUCCCUGGUUCGAAUCCAGGUAGCCCAGCCA